CCUACGGGCGGCUGCAGUGGGGAAUAUUGCACAAUGGGCGCAAGCCUGAUGCAGCCAUGCCGCGUGUGUGAAGAAGGCCUUCGGGUUGUAAAGCACUUUCAGCGGGGAGGAAGGCGUUAAGGUUAAUAACCUUGUCGAUUGACGUUACCCGCAGAAGAAGCACCGGCUAACUCCGUGCCAGCAGCCGCGGUAAUACGGAGGGUGCAAGCGUUAAUCGGAAUUACUGGGCGUAAAGCGCACGCAGGCGGUCUGUCAAGUCGGAUGUGAAAUCCCCGGGCUCAACCUGGGAACUGCAUUCGAAACUGGCAGGCUAGAGUCUUGUAGAGGGGGGUAGAAUUCCAGGUGUAGCGGUGAAAUGCGUAGAGAGCUGGAGGAAUACCGGUGGCGAAGGCGGCCCCCUGGACAAAGACUGACGCUCAGGUGCGAAAGCGUGGGGAGCAAACAGGAUUAGAUACCCCGGUAGUC
Molecule: ribosomal RNA, 465 nt
Filed under: uncultured Klebsiella sp.
Lineage: Bacteria; Pseudomonadati; Pseudomonadota; Gammaproteobacteria; Enterobacterales; Enterobacteriaceae
Description: bacterial SSU rRNA
Rfam family: Bacterial small subunit ribosomal RNA
Source: RNAcentral